RNAcentral lists this ribosomal RNA (516 nucleotides) under uncultured bacterium. RNAcentral describes it as "bacterial SSU rRNA". It matches the Rfam family "Bacterial small subunit ribosomal RNA", at positions 338 to 872 of the family's 1533-position model. The record is from RNAcentral.
CCUACGGGAGGCAGCAGUAGGGAAUCUUGCGCAAUGGGCGAAAGCCUGACGCAGCCAUGCCGCGUGAAUGAUGAAGGUCUUAGGAUUGUAAAAUUCUUUCACCGGUGACGAUAAAGACGGUACCCGGAGAAGAAGCCCCGGAUAACUUCGUGCCAGCAGCCGCGGUAAUACGAAGGGGGCUAGCGUUGCUCGGAAUUACUGGGCGUAAAGGGCGCGUAGGCGGAUCGUUAAGUCAGAGGUGAAAUCCCGGAGCUCAACUUCGGAACUGCCUUUGAUACUGGCGAUCUUGAGUGUGAGAGAGGUAUGUGGAACUCCGAGUGUAGAGGUGAAAUUCGUAGAUAUUCGGAAGAACACCAGUGGAGAAGGGGACAUACUGACUCAUUACUGACGAAGAGGCGGGAAAGAGUGGGGAGCAAACAGGAUUAGAUACCCGGGUAGUCCACGCCGUAAACGAUGAUUGCUAGUUGUCGGGCUGCAUGCAUUUCGGUGAAGCAGAUAACACAUUAAGCAAUCCGC